RNAcentral lists this transfer RNA (94 nucleotides) under Terfezia boudieri ATCC MYA-4762. It matches the Rfam family "tRNA". From Rfam's summary of the family: Transfer RNA (tRNA) molecules are approximately 80 nucleotides in length. Their secondary structure includes four short double-helical elements and three loops (D, anti-codon, and T loops). Lineage: Eukaryota; Fungi; Ascomycota; Pezizomycetes; Pezizales; Pezizaceae. The record is from Rfam by way of RNAcentral.
GGCACAGUGGUCUAAUGGUAAGACCUCCACUGCGUAGGUACCUGCUGAUUUCAAGCAGAGGGUGGGGAUCUGGGUUCAAUUCCCAGCUGAGCCA